CCUACGGGUGGCAGCAGUGAGGAAUAUUGGUCAAUGGGCGAGAGCCUGAACCAGCCAAGUCGCGUGAGGGAGUACUGCCCUAUGGGUUGUAAACCUCUUUUGUCGGGGAGCAAAAGCCGGACGUGUCCGGCUGUGAGAGUACCCGAAGAAAAAGCAUCGGCUAACUCCGUGCCAGCAGCCGCGGUAAUACGGAGGAUGCGAGCGUUAUCCGGAUUUAUUGGGUUUAAAGGGUGCGCAGGCGGAUGUUUAAGUCAGCGGUAAAAUCGUGGGGCUCAACCCCAUCCAGCCGUUGAAACUGGGGAUCUAGAGUGUGCGAGAGGUAUGCGGAAUGCGUGGUGUAGCGGUGAAAUGCAUAGAUAGCACGAAGAACCCCGAUUGCGAAGGCAGCAUACCGGUGCACAACUGACGCUCAGGCACGAAAGCGUGGGUAUCGAACAGGAUUAGAUACCCCGGUAGUC
This 458-nucleotide ribosomal RNA is filed under the name uncultured bacterium. RNAcentral's name for it is "partial 16S ribosomal RNA". It matches the Rfam family "Bacterial small subunit ribosomal RNA", at positions 338 to 795 of the family's 1533-position model. The record is from RNAcentral.